GGGCCAGUAGCUCAGUGGUAGAGCAGGAGCCUUUUAAGCUCCGUGUCGUGGGUUCGAUCCCCACCUGGCCCUCCA
RNAcentral lists this transfer RNA (75 nucleotides) under Candidatus Berkelbacteria bacterium. RNAcentral's name for it is "tRNA-Lys". It matches the Rfam family "tRNA". Rfam says of the family: Transfer RNA (tRNA) molecules are approximately 80 nucleotides in length. Their secondary structure includes four short double-helical elements and three loops (D, anti-codon, and T loops). Lineage: Bacteria; Candidatus Berkelbacteria. The record is from RNAcentral.